This is a long non-coding RNA of Alligator sinensis (Chinese alligator), 301 nucleotides long. RefSeq lists it as uncharacterized. The record is from RefSeq and is a predicted model, not a curated record. Lineage: Eukaryota; Metazoa; Chordata; Crocodylia; Alligatoridae. The transcript is spliced from 2 exons.
CAUGAUUCGGAUAGAGAUGCCCAGAGUGAUAGGUUGAGAUACAGACCAUCUCCUCACUGAUGCCCAGGACCAAACUAAGGUGUGCUAAGAAGCUUUGCAAAUCAGGUGUAAGAUGUCUGAAGUAGAACAUCAAGAAGAACAUGAUGCUUCUGAAGAAUUGGUUCUCUGUGGCCUAUCCAAAUUCACCCAACAAUUUUAUGACAGAAUCAGGGUCACAACACUUGCAUCCCUGUUCUCUGCCUUAAUCCUUUGAUAACCUUUAAUUCUUCAGUAAAUAAAGAUGCAAUAUAUUUCUAGUUAA